AAGGGAGACCUAAUUCCGGUAGGAGACGAAAAAAAAGUAGUCCCAACCAAGAAUCAAUCCCAAAAGGUCGGAACGAGGUAUGAGGCUUUCAAACUAGGUUCUGGGUUCAUAAAAGACCUGAAUCAGGAACAAGGGCUAUUAGCUCAGGUGGUUAGAGCGCACCCCUGAUAAGGGUGAGGUCCCUGGUUCGAGUCCAGGAUGGCCCACCUGCACAGGUGGCAAAAACAAGAGAAGCUCCGAAUCAGCACCUUAUCUUAUAUACAUAUAUAAGAGAGAAUGCCGGCUCUGAGUACAGAGUCCAGAGGAACCUUGAAAACUGCAUAGAGCUAGGUGAAAAAGCCAAAAAAGAAGACCGCAA
RNAcentral lists this transfer RNA (358 nucleotides) under uncultured Microcystis sp. Its description in RNAcentral is "partial 16S-23S ribosomal RNA intergenic spacer". The stretch from base 133 to 206 matches the Rfam family "tRNA". The record is from RNAcentral. Lineage: Bacteria; Bacillati; Cyanobacteriota; Cyanophyceae; Chroococcales; Microcystaceae.